Molecule: transfer RNA, 74 nt
Filed under: Candidatus Rokuibacteriota bacterium
Lineage: Bacteria; Candidatus Rokuibacteriota
Description: tRNA-Gly
Rfam family: tRNA
About the family: Transfer RNA (tRNA) molecules are approximately 80 nucleotides in length. Their secondary structure includes four short double-helical elements and three loops (D, anti-codon, and T loops).
Source: RNAcentral
GCGGGCGUAGCUCAGCGGCAGAGCGCCGGCCUACCCGGUCGGAAGCAGGGGAUCGACACCUCUCGCCCGCUCCA